Limulus polyphemus (Atlantic horseshoe crab) is the source of this 772-nucleotide long non-coding RNA. RefSeq lists it as uncharacterized. The record is from RefSeq and is a predicted model, not a curated record. Lineage: Eukaryota; Metazoa; Arthropoda; Merostomata; Xiphosura; Limulidae. The transcript has 2 exons.
UAAUACAUGACACAUUAUUGCACCUCAUAUAUAUAUAUACAGGCCUAGUAACAAAUGAUCCAAAAAAUGAAGAAUGUUAUAGUAGAUGUACGGACAAUACAUACUGUACAAUGAAGUACACUGUACAAUCUGCAACAUUAAAGAAGCAUUAAGAAUAAAGCUGUUUAAAGAAACAGGUCCAAGGACUUAAAAUCAGUAGCAUUUGGAACCAUAUUAUAAAAAAAAAAUAUUAUGGAAACAUGCUUAAACCUAAUCAAAUUUUGACAGUAUUACACCUUCUCUGUAGGGCUUCACUAUCACUAAUUUGGAAAAAACAGAAUUAAACCAACAUUUUCAGAAUCAAUCAGGUAUCAUCAUUGUUUUUUAGCUUUCUGUAAGGACUGUGCUAUUGUCUAUAUAUUCACACAAAACAAUUCUUAAUUAACCAAUUAGACCUGGUGCUGAACUAUGCACAGAGUCUGAAACGUCCAGAGUACAGAAACUGAACAAUUAGUGCUACCCAUAUGAAACUAUUCCUCAGCCUUUCAGAUCUAACAUUAGUUAUAACAAGUAUGAACUAUAGUAAUCUAACAAUCUAACAGAAACUGAACAAUUAGUGCUACCCAUAUGAAACUGUUCCUCAGCCUUUCAGAUCUAACAUUAGAUAUAACAAGUAUGAAAUGUAGUAAUCUAACAAGUUAUUAUUAACAGGAUUUAUAUAAUAGUAGCCAAGUUUUAAGAUGUAACAUCAGAUAUAACAAGUAUGAAUUGUGGUAAUCUAACAAGUUAUUAU